RNAcentral lists this unclassified non-coding RNA (648 nucleotides) under Hevea brasiliensis (rubber tree). Lineage: Eukaryota; Viridiplantae; Streptophyta; Magnoliopsida; Malpighiales; Euphorbiaceae. The record is from RNAcentral.
AAAAAAAAAAAAAAAAAAAAAAAAUCUACCUUUCCAUCACCCAAUAAAAUAAUAAGUUUAAUGCGUUCCCAUGUGGAAGGCAACAAUUCAAAGAGUGACAGAUCAUUGCUUCCUAAACCAACUUCUAUACCCAAUCAUGCAUGCUUCUAAUCAAGGCAACACAAUUGUCUAGAGGAGAUGCAACUUACAAACUAGAUUCCAAGUUAAUCCUUACAAUGAAAUUUUGCCAAUGAAUUUCAAUUUCACCCAGAAAUACUUGAAAUAAGAAGAAUAUUUACAAUGACAAAUCAUGUCUGCAUGCCAUGAUAUGAAAGAAUAGAAUACAACGCGAGAAACACCCAGCCACAUUAGCAGCACAAGCACACACCCAGCCACAUUAGCAGCACAAGCACAACUACAAUAGUGAAUCCCAAUACCAGAGCAUUCUCCAAGUAACAACAGGCACAUCAGAGAAGCUUUGAUAUAACAUGACAUGAAGUCCAGAAUGCUUUAGAGGCAGCCCUAAGAAUUACUGGAUUUUGGUAUAUCCCAAUGGCAGUUGCCCCCCAGGAUGCUACAUUAUAGACGACUUUGCUUCCAUCCCAUGCCUUCCGAAGCUUACCUUUCUUCUUUUUUACAGAGAAUGUUUUGCUAAGGGCUUCCUGGAGU